GACGAACGCUGGCGGCGUGCUUAACACAUGCAAGUCGAACGGUGAAGCGCCUUCCUUUUUGGUGGGUGUGGAUGAGUGGCGAACGGGUGAGUAACACGUGAGUAACCUGCCCCCUUCUUCUGGAUAACCGCAUGAAAGUGUGGCUAAUACGGGAUAUUCUGGGUCUGUCGCAUGAUGAGUCUGGGAAAGAUAUUGUUUCGGUGGGGGAUGGGCUCGCGGCCUAUCAGCUUGUUGGUGGGGUGAUGGCCUACCAAGGCGGUGACGGGUAGCCGGCCUGAGAGGGUGGACGGUCACACUGGGACUGAGACACGGCCCGGACUCCUACGGGAGGCAGCAGUGGGGAAUAUUGCACAAUGGGCGCAAGCCUGAUGCAGCGACGCCGCGUGAGGGAUGGAGGCCUUCGGGUUGUGAACCUCUUUCGCCAGUGAAGCAGGCCUGCCUCGUUUGUGGGUGGGUUGACGGUAGCUGGAUAAGAAGCGCCGGCUAACUACGUG
This 494-nucleotide ribosomal RNA is filed under the name uncultured bacterium. RNAcentral describes it as "partial 16S ribosomal RNA". It matches the Rfam family "Bacterial small subunit ribosomal RNA", at positions 28 to 507 of the family's 1533-position model. The record is from RNAcentral.